This 109-nucleotide small nucleolar RNA is filed under the name Eurypyga helias (sunbittern). Its description in RNAcentral is "Small nucleolar RNA SNORA69". It matches the Rfam family "Small nucleolar RNA SNORA69". Rfam says of the family: U69 is a member of the H/ACA class of small nucleolar RNAs (snoRNAs) which act as guides in the the modification of uridines to pseudouridines. Lineage: Eukaryota; Metazoa; Chordata; Aves; Eurypygiformes; Eurypygidae. The record is from Rfam by way of RNAcentral.
AAAGCAGGCUGCAAUUACAGUGCUCCAUUCUGUGGGAGUACUGCCAUUUUCCUGCUAAUUGUCUUUGGUUUUGCCUGUACCAUGGUGAAGCCGCUUGUUCUUAACAUGU